RNAcentral lists this ribosomal RNA (400 nucleotides) under uncultured bacterium. RNAcentral's name for it is "bacterial SSU rRNA". It matches the Rfam family "Bacterial small subunit ribosomal RNA", at positions 356 to 773 of the family's 1533-position model. The record is from RNAcentral.
GGGGAAUAUUGGACAAUGGGCGCAAGCCUGAUCCAGCCAUGCCGCGUGGGUGAUGAAGGCCCUAGGGUUGUAAAGCCCUUUCGGCGGGGAAGAUAAUGACGGUACCCGCAGAAGAAGCCCCGGCUAACUUCGUGCCAGCAGCCGCGGUAAUACGAAGGGGGCUAGCGUUGCUCGGAAUCACUGGGCGUAAAGCGCACGUAGGCGGCUUGCUAAGUCAGGGGUGAAAUCCUGGAGCUCAACUCCAGAACUGCCCUUGAUACUGGCGGGCUUGAGUCCGGGAGAGGUGAGUGGAACUGCGAGUGUAGAGGUGAAAUUCGUAGAUAUUCGCAAGAACACCAGUGGCGAAGGCGGCUCACUGGCCCGGUACUGACGCUGAGGUGCGAAAGCGUGGGGAGCAAAC